GAAGGUCCCGGGUUUGGCGGGUUUUCGCCAUUCUUUAUCGGGUAUGAAGGUUCAAUCGCGAUUCCACAUUUUCCUGAUGAAGACGCAAUGUUACGCGCCAUCCUUAGGUAUCCACUCUCUCCCCAGCUUUUACCCCAUGAGUUUCUCACAAUCCAGUAAUCUUUGCCGUUCUCAGUUCCGUAUCCAACCGCCACA
This 195-nucleotide small RNA is filed under the name Arabidopsis thaliana (thale cress). Its description in RNAcentral is "ATSL046730". Lineage: Eukaryota; Viridiplantae; Streptophyta; Magnoliopsida; Brassicales; Brassicaceae. The record is from RNAcentral.